CACCUGCUCUCGGGGGCCGCCUCCCCCGAAGCAGCGCCCCACGCAGUCCCUCCCGGCUGCCAAAUGGGCUACUCCUCUCCUCUGAGCCCGAGCUUCUGAAAGAAAACAAAGUUACUGAAAACUCAGACUUUACAGAAAUGCACAAAUUAGAAUGGAAGGAAUCACCAAAGCCCCACCUCCAGAUAAACUUGUACAGACGCCAAUCUGAAAUCCUGCACUCAGCUUCUGGCUCCUCUUUGACUCCAGAGAGAGGCGUUGCCAUUUCCAGGUGGAAGUACCCUUUUUCUCCUGGUUCGGGUGCAACGUGUUCAAGAAAGUCUCGGGUCCUGUUUCUUCUCCCGAUGCCCUGCUGGCUGGGCGGUCUUAGCCCCUCUCCUGGGAGCUCCUGGAUCGUGUGCCGGGCUCCGCUGUUGAGACCCAAGGACAGAGUGGGCUCAUCCCACUAGAACGACCGCAAAGAAGAACACUCCUUCCCUGCAUCGGCGGCUUCGUGUCACAGGUGGGUCCCUCUCUGGCCAGGUUGCCGUGUUCUCCUUCCCAACACCAGCCUCCAAAAGUAAACCGGGGGGUGGGGGGGCAGUGUCUUUGGGAAAAUCUUCUGUGACACCGACGGCGCCCUUUCAGGGGGCUUCAAACGGAAGAGGAGGAGGAGCCCACGCACAUACACGCAGGUGCACCACACGCACGCACACGCAUGCACACAGACGCCAGACUCUUCCAGCCGGAGCUACAGGACUUUGCGGACCUGGGCACGCAGCCCAUCCCUCUGCCCGUCCCUCUUUCCUCGGCCAGCAAGUCCCUGCAGGGCUGCACCUCUGUGGACGACAGUGGCCACCCAAGCCAGGUCCUAGCUCUGUCCUGCGUCCCAGCCUUCUUAUUUUCAGGCUCAUUGCGCCUUCCAGAAGGAACGUCCAUACGCUCCGGCCCUGACGGAACUCUCGGACAUCCAGCCCUUGUUUGAGCCCCGCUCAGGACAGGUGAGGCCCCCGCCACCAGGCAGCACUCCGGGCCUUCCAGCCUUGCAGCCGCUGCGAGCUGCUUCCUUCGAGAGUUUCUGAGCAGGUGUUGUGAAAAUAAUGAUUAUGUGGUUUGGCAGAUUCGAUCUCUGCAGCUAAUUGUUGACACUGAGUUUGUAUUACCCAAUACUUUGGGGUGGGGGACAAAAUAAUGCUAUUUUCUAGCCAGUAAGCCAGCAACUAUGUGUAAAGUCUUCGUCCUCUGGGUGGGGCAUAUGUUUUUCCAAGAAUCAAUUUUAAAAACAGGAUUGGCAGGUGCUGGCCACCUCCAACGAGCUCAAAAUGCAGAUCAAAACAACUGCAGGGCCAGCCUAGUCAGGCACUGACCUGGGCAGCCGUCCCUGAGCCCUGGUGGGGUGUCUAUGUCCGGUGGGCAGUUGAGAUGAAAGAGGGGUCCCCACCCUGCGACAGGCCCUGACCCUCCGACCCG
This 1446-nucleotide long non-coding RNA is filed under the name Sus scrofa (pig). Its description in RNAcentral is "lncRNA (ENSSSCG00050003838.1)". The record is from RNAcentral. Lineage: Eukaryota; Metazoa; Chordata; Mammalia; Artiodactyla; Suidae.